GUGGUUAUAGCUCAGCUGGUAGAGCAUCUGACUGUGGAUCAGAAUGCCGUGGGUUCAAAUCCCACUAGCCACCCCA
RNAcentral lists this transfer RNA (76 nucleotides) under Thermotogota bacterium. Its description in RNAcentral is "tRNA-His". It matches the Rfam family "tRNA". Rfam says of the family: Transfer RNA (tRNA) molecules are approximately 80 nucleotides in length. Their secondary structure includes four short double-helical elements and three loops (D, anti-codon, and T loops). Further hydrogen bonds mediate the characteristic L-shaped molecular structure. tRNAs have two regions of fundamental functional importance: the anti-codon, which is responsible for specific mRNA codon recognition, and the 3' end, to which the tRNAs corresponding amino acid is attached (by aminoacyl-tRNA synthetases). tRNAs cope with the degeneracy of the genetic code in two manners: having more than one tRNA (with a specific anti-codon) for a particular amino acid; and 'wobble' base-pairing, i.e. permitting non-standard base-pairing at the 3rd anti-codon position. RNAcentral also lists the same sequence under 1 other name. The record is from RNAcentral. Lineage: Bacteria; Thermotogati; Thermotogota.